This 275-nucleotide ribosomal RNA is filed under the name Rhipicephalus turanicus. RNAcentral describes it as "partial 16S ribosomal RNA". Lineage: Eukaryota; Metazoa; Arthropoda; Arachnida; Ixodida; Ixodidae. The record is from RNAcentral.
GGUAUUUUGACUAUACAAAGGUAUUGAAAUAAGAUUUUAAUUGAAUGCUAAGAGAAUGGAAACCCAGAAAAAAACUUUUUUUAAAUUAAAAAUUGAAAUUUUUUUAAUUUGUGCAGAAACAAUUAUUAAUAUUAAGGACAAGAAGACCCUAUGAAUUUAUAAAAUUCUAUUCAAUAUGUUAUUGCUGUUGUAGAAUUUUUGGCUGGGGCGGCUAAAAAAUAUCUUAAACUUUUUAAAAGUAAAAUGAUCCAUUAUUAAUGAUUACAUGUGAAAUA